Molecule: ribosomal RNA, 494 nt
Filed under: uncultured bacterium
Lineage: Bacteria
Description: partial 16S ribosomal RNA
Rfam family: Bacterial small subunit ribosomal RNA
Source: RNAcentral
GACGAACGCUGGCGGCGUGCUUAACACAUGCAAGUCGAACGGUGAAGCGCCUUCCUUUUUGGUGGGUGUGGAUGAGUGGCGAACGGGUGAGUAACACGUGAGUAACCUGCCCCCUUCUUCUGGAUAACCGCAUGAAAGUGUGGCUAAUACGGGAUAUUCUGGGUCUGUCGCAUGAUGGGUCUGGGAAAGAUAUUGUUUCGGUUGGGGAUGGGCUCGCGGCCUAUCAGCUUGUUGGUGGGGUGAUGGCCUACCAAGGCGGUGACGGGUAGCCGGCCUGAGAGGGUCGACGGUCACACUGGGACUGAGACACGGCCCAGACUCCUACGGGAGGCAGCAGUGGGGAAUAUUGCACAAUGGGCGCAAGCCUGAUGCAGCGACGCCGCGUGAGGGAUGGAGGCCUUCGGGUUGUGAACCUCUUUCGCCAGUGAAGCAGGCCUGCCUCGUUUGUGGGUGGGUUGACGGUAGCUGGAUAAGAAGCGCCGGCUAACUACGUG